Molecule: long non-coding RNA, 5453 nt
Filed under: Solanum tuberosum (potato)
Lineage: Eukaryota; Viridiplantae; Streptophyta; Magnoliopsida; Solanales; Solanaceae
Description: long non-coding RNA (STUB_LNC001651)
Source: RNAcentral
UUCUCUACAAAUUAAAGUGGUGGAUGAAUUUUAGGUUUUCAUCUUUUUCUCCUUCCUUUGAGCUGUCAUCGGACUGCUGCCCACCACCACUAGACUCCAUUCGGUAAUCUACAAAUGGAUCCAAAGUUUCACCACUUGUCUCUCUCACAUUCUACAUGUAUUCACAAAUUAUAUUUUCCUCUGAUUCCUAGCCAAGCUCCAUAGAUCUGAGAAAAAUCAAACACCAAAAUCACUUUCUUUUUUAAAUUCGUAAAGUUCAGGUCAUCUUCAUACCACACAACUUACAUAGGCAUGUAGGUCUCUUCAAUAUCUAUUAUUUGAUAUAAAUUUCAUGCCGAAUUUCUGGUGAGAAGUUUCUCAGCGAACUUAUCGCCUCUCAUUGCCACAAGUCAUCUAGCCGUCUACCUCAAAAUGGCCCCAAAAUUUACCACUUCUUCCCCUCACCAUCCUCUACAUGAACCCACAAAUAAUUUCCUUUUAUUCUUAACCAAACUCCAUAGAUCCGAGAAAAAAAAACAUCAGCCGUCACUUUCUUUCUAAAAUUCAAAAGUUUAAGUCAUCUUCAUCCCACACAACUUACAUAGGUAUGUAGAUCUCUUCAGGAUCUAUCGAUUGAUACAAAUUUCAGGCUAAAACGCCAACAAAAAAUGUUUCGAUGAACUUUCUCGGCAAAACCACUAGCGGCAUCAAACCACCACAGCUCCAGAGACCCAACCAACAUCCUCUUCCCCUAUGCCCCAACUAAAGUUUUUUUUGUUACAGGUCAACAUCCCGGGGAUGUACACUAUUGAGAUUUGAAUAGAGAGUCAGAGAUCCGGCGAUUACAUGAAAAAUCAACUUUACCUACAAACUUUUUCUCCAGCGCAAUUUUGUUAGUAUCUCUGAUCUGUUUCACCUUUUAUUUUUUAUUGGUAUUUCAUGUCUUGUAUGGUAGAUGUGUUUUUUAUUUACCAUGGUUAUAUAUUUUUUUAUAGCAUAUCUAGAUUUUCUUUAUAUUUUUAUGGUAUUGUUUUUACAAUUUUUGGCUAAUUUUUUGUGUUAAUUUGAUUCUUUUACUUUGUUCUAUCAUUUUUCUAUAUAGUGAAUGUUUGUUAUUUAAUUGCUAUUUUAUAUUUCUUGUUGUUCAUUGUUUUAGAUGUGUUCAACAUUAAUCAUUUAUUGAGGAAUUUUUUGUUGCUGGAACUUGUUAUCUGUUUGUGAAACUUUGAUCCAUCACUCAUUAGACCACUAUCGUCCUUGACCAUUGUUUGAAAUUGUGACACUGUGUUUCUAAUGUGAUUAAAAAGAAUUAUAGAUAGCUUAUUAUUUAUAAUAAUGAUUCAUUUGAUUAUUUUACUAUAAUAUUGAAUGAAUAUUUUGUCAAUGACCGAUGACGAAUUUUUUUUUGGAAUUUUAAGACCUCAGUCAGAUAUACAUAAAACGAGUUUUAUUUUUACUCAUUUAUUAUUAUUAUUAUUAUUAUUAUUAUUGUUGUUAUUAUUAUUAUUAUUAUUAUUAUUAUUAUUAUUAUUAUUAUUAUUAUUAUUAUUAUUAUUAUUAUUAUUAUUAUUAUUAUUAUUAUUAUUAUUAUUAUUAUUAUUAUUAUUUCUUUUGAUUCAUAUUAAUUCAGUUGUAAUACUUUGCUUAAGUGUUUAUUACAAGUAUCUAGAAUUGUUUUCCAUUGAAGAUAUUCGAAAGAAAAGUUUGACUACUUUUUGAAUGUUUUAUCAAUCAUUAUCUACAUUAUUGACAAUUGGUAAAUAUGUCACCAUAUUUCACGUUUAAAUUUUACUAUAUUAUUUAGAUAUACAUAUUUCAUGUUAAUAUAAUUGUAAAAUUAAUUUUUAUCUCCUCCUCAAUUAAAAAAAUGAGUUCUGUCGGGAUCCACAAUUGUGGAUUCUCAAGGGUGCUAAUUCCUUUCCUUCGUGAUCAUAUGAACCCUUAUCUAGAAUCUAAUUGAUUUCAUAUAUUAAUAUUUAUUUAUUUAUUAAUUAACACAUUUCCUAUUUUGACUCUAAAAUUUUAAAUUAUUUAAAUAAAUUAGUUGUUUUUUUAGUCCCACGACGUUGCAACUUAUUUCAAAAUAUUAGGGAUAUAACAAUAAUUCCUGCUAGGUGAUGUUCUAUGGGAUGGUAUCUUGUUAUUCAAACAUUCCAAAAGUAUGUCAAGAAAGAUUUUCUACACAAGCAUAUGUUUAAUCUUUCUAAGGCUAAUUGAAGAUUCAGGAUUAGUUUUCUUCUAAAUUAAGCCUUUUGGGUCUUGGUUCAACUAAUCUAAAACUAAUGUAUUUAAUUCGUAUUACUUUUCCUUCAUUCAGUUGCAUGCAUUGUAUUACUUUUUAUGGGUUUAAUAAGCUUAAAUUCUAACACUUAAAUGAUGUCAUAAAUUUGAAAUAAAUAAGCUGCACUCAAGUGCUGACAUGCUUCAUUUUUAAGACCUAAUGUAGUCAAUUGCUCUACCAGAUAGAAACAAGAGAUGCUAACUAAGCACUGCAGAAAUGAUGUUGAGUUCAUCAUUGUUUGCUUCUUGCCUUAUAGUGAGGGGAUUUUUUUCCGUAUAAAGAGUUAAUGAGGUACCUGUGUUCAAAAGAUUGUGCUAGGGGGUUGCAAAAUUUGGUGAUGGAAUCUUCUUGUUCUUGGUGCAACUAACUGCUUUAAGAAGGUUCUAAAGUUGUUCGUCCGUAAUAGCUUUAUGGUGUGAUUUUAAAGUUUUGGACUAACACUUUUCAGAACCGUCAUAAGCAAGUUAGAAGGUGUCACUAAGAAUAAGGUGGUUCUAUUACUAAAUUUUGCAGCCCUAGCACAAUCAUUUGAACCCAGGUACGUCAUAAACUAUGUAUACGGAGCAAAACCCUCUUCACUAUAAGACAAGAAGUAAACAGUGUUGAACCGAACAUCAUUUGCACAAUGUCAUGUCUAGGGAAAGCAUUGACUACGUUAGGUCUUAAAAAGAAACAUGUCAGCACUUGAGUGUAUCUUAUUUAUCUCAAUUUGUGGCAGCAUUUAAGUGGCACAAUUUAAGCAUAUUACACCUAUUAAAAGUAAUACAGUGAUUUCAAUUGAAUGAAUAAAAAAGAGUAAUAGUAAUAUAAAUUAUUUAUAAAUUAGUUGAAUCAAAACUCACAAAUCUUAAUUAAGAAUACCGCUAAUCCUAAAACUUCAAUUAGCCAUAAAAAUAUUCAAUAUAUGAUUGUGCUAACAACCUUUCUUGACAUAAUUUAGGAAUGAAUUUUAUAACAACACGUUGCAACUCCACCGAUCAUCACCUUGUUGGAAUUAUAUUCAAGAAGAUGUAUUUUGGAAGUUUGUCAUGCUCGAUGGAAUUGCAACAAUUUAGAGUAAUAAAAUGCUUUCUUCUAGGAAGAAGAAAAAUUCCCCCCUUCCUAUCACGUGUUGUUAUUUUUCUUGUUUAAUCAUUAGCUUUGUAUUCUUAUUGCAUUGCUAUUAGGUACCAAAUAAACGAUCUCAUCUUCACUUGCAUUAAAGUUUGCAGCGACGAUUAAUUUUGAAUCAGCCAAAUGAGACAAAGAGUAUUUAUGUGUAAUAAUGAUUUAUAUACAUCACAAAUUAUUACUUUUGUAUAGGUAUACAACACAAAAUUUAUAAGGAUCUACUAUAGCCACAUCUUAUGGAAGGAAUAUGUAUAUCGAGCUUCUAUUCAACUUUUAUAAAACACUAUUCUCAUUGGACAAUAAAGUCUUGAUAUGUAGGCAACUGUAAAAAUGUGGAAACUAGAAUUUUUUAAGAAAGAAGAAAAAAAUAUUAAGACAUGAAACAUUUUACAAUCAUGGCGUCGGCAUUCACAUUUGCGUUUUGAUAUAUUAAAAAAUAUUUUAAAUUUGAACACUUCAGAUAUUAUCUGAAUUUGACUUCUUUUGCUUUCUUUUGUCCUCAUUUUGUACUUAAGCUCUCAUAGAUGAAAUUCAAACAUAUUAGAAUCAGAAAUGGAUAUAAACAAUCAUUGAGGACAUAAUUUGGUGAACUAGAAACCUAAUAUGAGUUUGAAAUCUCUGACUCAUCAUGAACUUUUUUUUAGAAUUCCAAGUUUUUGUUCGAUGCAAUCUAAUAUAGUGGGUGUCAAGUCCCUAUUGUGGUGGAAUUAACUCCUCGCAUAUUGGGUGUUCAUGCUAUGGAGGAGCCGCUAUAGUGGGUUAGGCCGCUAUAGCGGGGUUAAAUUACAGUUUAUGCUGAAAUUCCCCUAAAGCACUCAUUAUUUUAUAAAGCUCAUUUUUGAAAGAGGAAAGGCAACCUAGGGUGAUUUUCUUCACUUUUCUACUAAAUUCUUCAGUAAAGAUAACUAAUUCAUUCCCCUACCUUAUUAUUGUGAUUCUUAGGCCUUAGAAUCCUUGUUGGGUGACCUUAGAGAGAGUUUGACUUGAAUUAAUGGUGGAAAUCCCUAGUUUUUGUAGGGAUGAUAAUAGGAAUCACAUGCAGUUAGGAUUUGAUUAUAAUCCUAGUAUUUAUAGGUCAUUAUUCAUUGAUUGUAUAUUUUGUUAUUGUUUUAGGCUAGGAACAAGCCAAUAUUCAUAAAAAGGGGAAGACUCAUGUUCAAUAGAGCUUCCAAGGCUUGAUUCAAGGUAGGCGAUGGUUGUUUGUUUUCCCGUUUAUCUUAUAUGUGCUUGUAUAGUGCUUCAUUAGUAUUUCAUGCAUGAUACAUGAUUAUGUAAAAGUAAAGAGUAUGAUUUGAAAUGUUCAAUGUUGUCAAUCACAUGCAAUGAAUGUAUUUACUUGAGUGUACAAGUGUAAUUGUUAUACAUUGUGGUUGUGAUUAUGAUGUGUGUUUGAUGGUUGCUCUAGUACUAUGCAUGGUAAAGAAUAUCCACAUAGUUGUCUCAUAUACCCCGUCUGGUAUAUACUAAUGGUUGGCUUGGGUACCAUGCCUAGUACGAGAAUAUCCAUAAAUGGUUUGCUCUGGUACCACAUCGGUACACUAACAGUUUGUGUGUGGGUUCCAUCAGAGAACUUGGUUGAGUUGUUGUAAUAUGGUUGUUCAUUCUUUAUAUGCAUAUCAACUCCAGGUGAUGAAUCAGAGUCCAUAUUAUGCUAUAAGUAAAAUUUAAUUGUAUAUUAGGUAUUUUCCCGAGUUGUAGUUUCUUGUUCAUAUUUCAUAUAACUAGAACUAGCCGAUGAUCCUAACAGUACACGGUAGUUGUGUACUGAUACUGCACAUUCUCUUUCUUUGUUGAUUACAUGGUAUAUUUAGGUGGAUCCUGCUAGGCCUCUACUGUGAGACGGGUGAAAUUUGAUUUCAAGGGUGAGGUACUUCUUCGGGGUUUCCAUAUAUUACUUUUAUCUUCUUAGUUCAUCUCUUCGAACUUAGAGCUUUUAGACAUAUGUUUUCUUGGAUUUUCGAGGUUGCAUCCCUUAUUCUAAACAGUUAUAGUUAUGGUAGAUGACAUUCAGUUUCUAGGGGGUUAAUUAUGUAGUGUUGAUGACAAAUUUUGUUUUAUUUCAAUCUGGAUUUUGGAAUUAUAA